CAACCCUCAAGCACUGCUUGGUGUUGGGGCACUGCCUUUUCCGGAAGGCAGGCCCUGAAAUUCAGUGGCGAGCUCGCCAGGACCCCGAGCGCAGUAGUUAAACCCUCGCUUUGGAAGGCCCUGGCGGUGCCCUGCCGUUAAACCCCCAACUCUUGAAA
RNAcentral lists this unclassified non-coding RNA (158 nucleotides) under uncultured Diaporthales. Its description in RNAcentral is "sequence contains ITS2". Lineage: Eukaryota; Fungi; Ascomycota; Sordariomycetes; Diaporthales. The record is from RNAcentral.